GACGAACGCUGGCGGCGUGCUUAACACAUGCAAGUCGAACGGAAAGGCCCUGCUUUUGUGGGGUGCUCGAGUGGCGAACGGGUGAGUAACACGUGAGUAACCUGCCCUUGACCUUGGGAUAACUUCAGGAAACUGGGGCUAAUACCGGAUAGGAGCUCCUGCUGCAUGGUGGGGGUUGGAAAGUUUCGGCGGUUGGGGAUGGACUCGCGGCUUAUCAGCUUGUUGGUGGGGUAGUGGCUUACCAAGGCUUUGACGGGUAGCCGGCCUGAGAGGGUGACCGGCCACAUUGGGCCUGAGAUACGGCCCAGACUCCUACGGGAGGCAGCAGUGGGGAAUAUUGCACAAUGGGCGGAAGCCUGAUGCAGCAACGCCGCGUGCGGGAUGACGGCCUUCGGGUUGUAAACCGCUUUCGCCUGUGACGAAGCGUGAGUGACGGUAAUGGGUAAAGAAGCACCGGCUAACUACGUG
Molecule: ribosomal RNA, 468 nt
Filed under: uncultured bacterium
Lineage: Bacteria
Description: partial 16S ribosomal RNA
Rfam family: Bacterial small subunit ribosomal RNA
Source: RNAcentral